Gymnodraco acuticeps is the source of this 508-nucleotide long non-coding RNA. RefSeq lists it as uncharacterized. Lineage: Eukaryota; Metazoa; Chordata; Actinopteri; Perciformes; Bathydraconidae. The transcript is spliced from 4 exons. The record is from RefSeq and is a predicted model, not a curated record.
GGUAACCCAGGGUCGAUGAAACCGACGAUUUGUGGGCAGCACUUCGAGAGAUCGUGUUUCGAACAAUCAACAAUGCUUGCUAAGGAGAGAGAGUAAAAGCUUUCUCGAAGGCUUUGCAUUUGAACUCCUAUGACUGGUUGCGGACUUGAAGGGAACGACUUCCUGGCCUUCCUGACAUCCAGGAAAAAGAAAGGAUCAUGCCAGCUCACAUCAAACACCUGAUCAAGAACUUGUGAAUCUUCAGGCAGAAAAGACGAAAACACCUGUUCAAAGUUCCAGUUCCCUGUACAUCGAACCAUGCCUGUCCUCUGUUCCACAUGUCUUCAGUCAGUUCUGGAUCCCAUGACUCGGACACUAGUUCUACCAAGGCUCAUUAGAGUUUGCUUGAAGAAGUGGCUUCAACAGACAGAAAUGCAGGCCAGAUUGGGAAAGGCUGGACGACACAGCGGGAAACAUUAUGGACAUGAACAAGGAAAAACAAAAACACUUUCUUUGUUGCCUUUUUCUU